GAUACGCGGGGAUGGGUAAGAUACACGGGGGUGAGAAU
This 38-nucleotide small RNA is filed under the name Acididesulfobacillus acetoxydans. RNAcentral's name for it is "CRISPR spacer". Lineage: Bacteria; Bacillati; Bacillota; Clostridia; Eubacteriales; Peptococcaceae. The record is from RNAcentral.